CUCUCUCUUUUUUUUUUUGGCCCGAAUUUUCCUUUACCUCAUGUCGGAUAUUGGAAUGACUCGAAUGAGAGUCAAGUUGACAUGAGAUACGUUUAGUUUGGGUUUCAUGGAACAGAUUUAUGGGGUCUGUAGUCUUUCCCACCUAUCAUUCGGUUUUUGUAAGCUGUGCUGGUGUGGGUGUGCCCUACCAGCCUCUGGGCCGACUCACCUACUGUAGGGCACCAAGGUGCAGGGCCAGGGAUCACAUCCCAGCAGAAAUGUGUCCUGUAGAGCCUGGCACUGAGACCGCAUGGGGACAGGAGAAGCAACAAAGCAUGGAUCAUAAGGAACCAGAAGCCGGUGUAUAGAAAAUUCUUCUACUCGCCAGACCAGGUAAAAUCAAAUAGACAACAGUGAAACAAACAAGGAACGCCUGCCUGUGUGUGUAGUCUCGGGUUUUAUGCAUCGCAUCACAUCUUAGCAUAUCUGACACAUCUUGUCUUGACAAAGUCUGCUGGUUCCGGAAGAGAGAGAGCACCAAAUUGCCACAAAUGCGGUGAAAUAAUCUGAAGAAAACACGCACACACACCACACAGCAAAAGAUGCAAAACAAAGGAAGCACUGGAGAGAGAAAGCAUAAUACAAAAUAAGAUGCCAGAAUGAGAACGAAGCCUAUCCAUCACGUUACAUCAAUAAAUGCAAAUAGGACAGGCCUUGUUUGGAAAGAAAAUCUAUGAUACGCCUUUGUUAUCAGACAUCUCUUCGUGCCACAUCACAGCCUCUGGUCCUUCCAUGCCUCCAGAGCCUCUGACCCGUCCUGUCCUAGCCUCUCCGGGGUGACCAGUUCUGCCCGCGUUCCAGCUGACUUCUGACACACAGAAACAGUCCUCCACACUUCACCUCACGGCCACACGCUUGCCCCCGAGACACUUGGUCCCGGGGGCGCUUAAAAGAAGACUCCCGGGAUAGGAUUGUGACAUUGAAUUGCCUCCUUACUGGUCUGAUGGCAAUAAGGACACUUGCUAGAGUAAAGCAGGUGGUGGUGACCCUUGGCAUGAACUGGGCAUCAAAAUUACUGAGGUUUUCACCUGUGGUUACAUGGGGGUGAGGGGCAGGUAGAAGGUGGAAUUCAGCUGGGAACUGGAAUGUCUGUAGCCUUUCAUUGGUUAUGGGGACAGUGAUGAUUAUGAGAAAUGCAGAGUAGGCCGGCUUUUAUGAACACGAGACACCUUGCAAAAAAGAAAAUGGUAGGCUCGGGGUAGCUGACAGCCAGCUUAAGGAUUUGUAAAAGCCGUGGGGAGCUUUAUGGCAGUUUUUGAGGAGCCUCAACUCCUGCAGCUCGGGGGCAACCUGAUAAAGCCAGGCUCCGCCGCUGAUCGUCAGGGUGCCAGCUGCUGCUGAGAUGACAGACCUUGCGCGCUUCAACUCACUUCGUGUGGGUACAACCCACCAGUGCCCCAAGCCCUCCUGUGUAGCACGGCUCCCCCUCUUGCCCUGAGGCGUCCACAUUGGUGCUGAGGUGCGAGACACUGGGGGCCCUCUGGGCGCCAAGCUUGGACGACCCUGAAGUGAAGGGCAGUUAACACUUGCGGAGAGAAUGUUUGACCCAUGGGAGACAGAAGCUGCCAGAUAAAAUUCUCCCUUCUUUCUCUCCCUGUAUAGACAAUGAUGAAAUACAGUUAAAAAGGAAGAUGGCCUCUUGGAAGAUGGUCCCAUGAGAUCAGACACACACUCGCUCUUCAUUCCAAGCCUUGACCUGCUGAGUGAUGCAGCCUCGGAUUUGCUCUUCCCGCCUCCCUGCCCCUCAGCGAUGUUCCCUGUUCCCUUCCUCUGGCUUUCCUGGGAUUGCAUUCCCUAAUAAAGUCGUAGCAAGGGAGA
Leopardus geoffroyi (Geoffroy's cat) is the source of this 1857-nucleotide long non-coding RNA. RefSeq lists it as uncharacterized. Lineage: Eukaryota; Metazoa; Chordata; Mammalia; Carnivora; Felidae. The transcript is spliced from 2 exons. The record is from RefSeq and is a predicted model, not a curated record.